RNAcentral lists this unclassified non-coding RNA (381 nucleotides) under uncultured bacterium. Its description in RNAcentral is "contains 16S-23S intergenic spacer region". The record is from RNAcentral.
UCCGAUUUGUCACCGGCAGUCUCCCAUGAGUCCCCGACAUAACUCGCUGGCAACAUGGGACAAGGGUUGCGCUCGUUGCGGGACUUAACCCAACAUCUCACGACACGAGCUGACGACAGCCAUGCAGCACCUGUGUUCCCGUUCCCUUUCGGGCACACCCGGCUUUCACCGGGCUCCAGGACAUGUCAAGGGUAGGUAAGGUUUUUCGCGUUGCAUCGAAUUAAUCCACAUAAUCCACCGCUUGUGCGGGUCCCCGUCAAUUCCUUUGAGUUUUAGCCUUGCGGCCGUACUCCCCAGGCAGGGCACUUAAUGCGUUAGCUGCGGCACCGGAGGGGUCGAUACCCGCAACACCAAGCGCCCAUCGUUUACAGCUAGGACUAC